UAUAUCAACAGCUUAGAUUCAAUCUCUCAUUUUUGGGUCGCCUCCAAGAAACCCUCGCAAAGUACAUGGUUGAGGUAUAUGGAAAUGGAACCCCAAAAGCUAGAGGUUGUUCUUGCAUGGUAGAUCAAUUGUAUGUAGAAGAACUUCUGAGGCUUUUUCAUGGGACUUGAUUCGUUAGGAGUACUUGGAGACUGGAUAGAUUACUAGCUAUUGUUUAUGAAACUUGAUGGUGCUCUAUGUAAUAAAAGGUUCCGAAUUGCGGCUGAGAUAGCCACUGGUCUGCUCUUUCUCCAUCAGACCAAGCCAGAGCCACUGGUUCAACGUGACCUCAAGCCAGGAAACAUUACUCCAGCAACAUGUUCUCAUUUAGAAAUUCAAGGUACUCUUCAUCUCAGCUCUCAUAUGGGCAUUAUAUGCUUGACCGGAUUUCAAAUCUUCAGACCACCUUUUCAGUAUCGAUCAUCUGUUUCCACCUCCAAACCAUGGGGGUUGGCUCUAAAGAUUACCCCUGGAUCUAAAAGGUUGGUAGCAAUCAUGCAGACAAACACGUUGCUAGACUUCGAUCAGGACAAAAAUGCUGCUCCCAAGAGUGGUAUGUUUGGUCUGAUGUUAUACUUGGUGGCCAGAAGCAGUUUGUAAAUACCAAGGUCAUGCCAUGACUUCUUGAAUUUUUCUUUUAGCUUGGCCAAGAUUUAAUUCCACCUUUAUCUUUUUGUCCAGAAACUAACAUUCAAUAAUGGCACUUGGUCGGUCUUCAUUGGAAAUGAAA
Populus nigra (black poplar) is the source of this 769-nucleotide long non-coding RNA. RefSeq lists it as uncharacterized. The record is from RefSeq and is a predicted model, not a curated record. The transcript is spliced from 2 exons. NCBI's taxonomy places the organism in Eukaryota, Viridiplantae, Streptophyta, Magnoliopsida, Malpighiales, Salicaceae.